CUCGUCUGGAAGGUUGGGAUGGUCCAGCUAAUUCAGCAGUCAUUGCUCGCCGCAUUGCAACAUUAGCUCGUGUAUUAGACGACGACCUAUCUACAGAUAGCCAAAUUCCAUCGGUUGAGGAUGCCUGGGCUACAGCUGAAGUUGAAGCUGAUCUUAGAAUAUCAAGAUCAUCUUGAAAGAAGGAAUCUCUUGAACUCUGACUUGGUGGAACUACAGAUCCAGGGCUUGAAGGUGGUGAAUCUAUGAUGCUUGAAUUUGGGCUUGAUGGUGAACUAGCUGAUGCAGCGAUAUGACAGCAGAGGAAGUAUUGACUGUCUAUUAUGGACAAUAUAAAGAAUAUGUGGCUGAAUGCAGCCACGAACUAGAAGAGGAGGAAGAAGAGGAGGAAGAAGAAAUAGAAGAAGAUGAAGGAAUUGAGGCCGAUUUAGAAGAAAAUUGAUGGCUGCCCCUCUCCUCCUCCUCUACUAGCGCUAAGUAUUUAGUUG
Molecule: long non-coding RNA, 485 nt
Organism: Macrosteles quadrilineatus (aster leafhopper)
Lineage: Eukaryota; Metazoa; Arthropoda; Insecta; Hemiptera; Cicadellidae
Exons: 4
Source: RefSeq, a predicted model, not a curated record